UCGCGCAUGGCCGUAGCUUCCUUGGCGACGUA
RNAcentral lists this non-coding RNA (32 nucleotides) under Syntrophotalea carbinolica DSM 2380. Lineage: Bacteria; Pseudomonadati; Thermodesulfobacteriota; Desulfuromonadia; Desulfuromonadales; Syntrophotaleaceae. The record is from RNAcentral.